Molecule: long non-coding RNA, 1848 nt
Organism: Gallus gallus (chicken)
Lineage: Eukaryota; Metazoa; Chordata; Aves; Galliformes; Phasianidae
Source: Ensembl
CAAAUUCAACCCAGGCUGCGGGUGCGAUCCUUCCUCCUCCUGCCCCUCUCUGUGGUGGGUGCCCGGGCACGGCGAAAGGUUGUCUUCUAUUAUUACUACCAUUGUUGUUGUUAUUAUUAUGACUCUCCUCGUUCUUAUCUUCUCUUUUGUCAUCCGGACGGUUGAGCCGCGGGCGCGGAGGGGAACGCGGUGUUUGCAUGCUUCUCGAGAAAAAGGGGGACCCCCUCACCCCCUCUUUGCGUAUGCGUGAAGCUGCUCUCCUUGGGGCACGGCAAUUAACUCUCUCGCUCUCAACUUAAUUCCAGUGCGGUCCCCGUCUCCUCCUCGGCCGGGAGCCCCCGGCUCCAACGCCGCUCAUUAAAGGCUCCUUCCGUAGCUAACAGAGCCCCCAGCCCCUCUGUAAGAAUAAGGGACCCGGCCUAUUUUCCCUCUCCUUUUCUUUCUUUGUGAGGUUAGGAUGAUGCUACAAGUUUGCAAAGGGAAGUACCGGGGAGAAAGGAAAAAAAAAAGAAGGGUUUCAGAGAUUGUUUAUUACAGCCAUAAAUCUUGCAGUAAAAUGUCGAAAUGGCCGUGUGCAAGAUAACACUUGGUGGUCUUGGCUGGGUUCUUGUUUAUGAUAACAAAACCACAAAGACAUGGAACAGGCCUUUUGGAGGUCCUGCCUCAGCACAUCUCCGCAGCCUGAUAGAACCCCGCAGAAACAGGCUGAGCCCGGCACCUCGGGUCACCUUGCAGAUUUACGGCCGCGCACAGCACCGCAUCCUUCUCCGUCCAACCCGGCGCCAGAGCCGCACAGUAGAGAGGUGCAGCGAAAAGAGCGUUCUCCGAGAUCUAAUCGCGGUCAAUAAUAGGAAGCAGAACCCUCUCGGCUCGCCGGCGCAGAGCUGAGCCUACAAAUCGGGACAGCGGUUUUCGUUGUGUUUGCUCGUGCCUCGGGAGCACGGAGCCUGCUGUUCCGAGCCAGCCAUAGAGCCUCCGGACUUGCCUUAUGCCGAGGAUAACGUGCCCGGUACCGCAGGGCAACGCAUCUGGUGGCGGCCAGCAGCGUGCUGCUGAGUCUGUGUGCGUGUGUGUAACCGCAUUUCCUCUCCACGCAGAGUAAAUAGAGGAACUUAUCUAUUACCCCAGUUAAAGAGUUCCAUAGAUGUUCUGUUGGAAACGACCCCAGCAACGCAGCAGUGGCCGGGUGCCCUCUCCCUCCCUCGCCAGGCGUUCUGCGAAGGCGAGAAAGAUUUCUCUUGGAACCGAGAAUUCAGAAAUAGAGCCAGCACCAGGCAAGAGAAGCGACAGUCUUACAUUCGUAGCUGGAAAGCGCAGCUCCGCGGGGAGGGAUGUUCGCAGCGAGCCCCGCGGCAGCCGGUAGGAAGCGUUUAUAGCACCGCGCCGCCUUCCCUCUCCUCCCCGUUAUUCCCCGGCUCCCCGUGCCCCCCGCACCCCACGAGACACGGAGGGGCUCCCCUCGGCCUUCCCGCGACGUCCGCGCUAACUUUGGGAUCUGCUCUUCCAGCAAGCGGGCUGCAGGGGGACGGGAGCUGCCGGCUCUCGGCUCGGGGAGAGGUCGCAGCGAAGGGAGGGGGUGAGGUGACCUCCACCCCGCAGCCCCGACGAGAGGCGUUGGGUGAUGGGUGCGUGGAGAGCUAUUGUGCAACGCUCAGCUCAGCGCCUGCCUCCCUCCCCGGGGCUGCGCACUGCUUCCCCUGCCCGCUUUCUGACACGAAAGGAGGAAAAAAAAAAAAUAGAAAAGAAAAGAAAAAAAAAAAAAGAUGACGAGGGUGAGGACUGUCAGUUCUGGAUUAGUUUUAUCUCGCUUGACACCGCGAGUGCCGGCCGUAACCCGGGCGGGAGGAG